This 421-nucleotide ribosomal RNA is filed under the name uncultured bacterium. RNAcentral's name for it is "bacterial SSU rRNA". It matches the Rfam family "Bacterial small subunit ribosomal RNA", at positions 355 to 774 of the family's 1533-position model. The record is from RNAcentral.
UGAGGAAUAUUGGACAAUGGGCGCAAGCCUGAUCCAGCCAUGCCGCGUGCAGGAAGAAGCAUCUAUGGUGUGUAAACUGCUUUUGUACGGGAAGAAACACUCCUUCGUGAAGGAGAUUGACGGUACCGUAAGAAUAAGGAUCGGCUAACUCCGUGCCAGCAGCCGCGGUAAUACGGAGGAUCCAAGCGUUAUCCGGAAUCAUUGGGUUUAAAGGGUCCGUAGGCGGUUUAGUAAUCAGUGGUGAAAGCCCAUCGCUCAACGAUGGAGCAGCCAUUGAUACUGCUAGACUUGAAUUAUUAGGAAGUAACUAGAAUAUGUAGUGUAGCGGUGAAAUGCUUAGAUAUUACAUGGAAUACCAAUUGCGAAGGCAGGUUACUACUAAUGGAUUGACGCUGAUGAGCGAAAGCGUGGGGAGCGAACG